This 410-nucleotide ribosomal RNA is filed under the name Runcina brenkoae. Its description in RNAcentral is "partial 16S ribosomal RNA". It matches the Rfam family "Bacterial large subunit ribosomal RNA", at positions 1828 to 2597 of the family's 2925-position model. The record is from RNAcentral. Lineage: Eukaryota; Metazoa; Mollusca; Gastropoda; Runcinacea; Runcinidae.
AGCUUAAAGAAAUAAAUUUUAAGUUUAACCUGCCCAGUGAUUUUUUAACGGCUGCGGUACCUUGACCGUACUAAGGUAGCAUAAUCAAUUGGCUUUUAAUUGGAGUCUGGAAUGAAUGGGAAAAUUGGAGUUUAACUUUCUUAAAUGAAUUUUAUUGAAAUUACUGUAAAAGUGAAAAAGCUUUUAUUAUGAAAAAAGACGAGAAGACCCUUGGAGUUUAAUAUUUUUGUUGGGGCGACAUAAAAAAAUUGAACUUUUUAAAAAUUAAUAAUCAACUUUUAGUUUUAUUUUAUAAACUACCCAAGGGAUAACAGCAUAAUUCUUUUAGAGAUUGUGACCUCGAUGUUGGACUAGGAAAGAUAAUUACUAGUAGUUAUUAUCUUAUGUUCUGUUCGAACAUUUAUUCUCCU